UGGGAGGCCAAUAGAUGUCUGUUUGUUUGGUAGAUAGAAUCUACCGAACCCCCAGGCAGAAAUACAUGAAUAAACCUUUCUGCAUAGGAAAAUAAAGUAUUUAAAUGCCAGUCCAUAGUUAAAAGGCAGCAGGCAGGCAACCAGGCUCCUCCAAUGCACAGUGGCGAGAUUGGUCUCGUCACAGUGACCUUUGUGGGACUUCCCCUGUGGACCGUACUUGAUCAGUUGAUAGACCCCGUUGUUGUAGCAGUUGAGAUACU
Non-coding RNA from Pelobates cultripes (western spadefoot toad), 260 nucleotides. NCBI's taxonomy places the organism in Eukaryota, Metazoa, Chordata, Amphibia, Anura, Pelobatidae. The record is from the annotation of a GenBank genome assembly.